GAUGAACGCUGGCGGCGUGCUUAACACAUGCCAGUCGAACGGUGAAGGCGGAGCUUGCUCUGCUGGAUCAGUGGCGAACGGGUGAGUAACACGUGAGCAAUCUGCCCCUGACUCUGGGAUAAGCGCUGGAAACGGCGUCUAAUACUGGAUACGAGCUGCGAAGGCAUCUUCAGCAGCUGGAAAGAAUUUCGGUCAGGGAUGAGCUCGCGGCCUAUCAGCUUGUUGGUGAGGUAAUGGCUCACCAAGGCGUCGACGGGUAGCCGGCCUGAGAGGGUGACCGGCCACACUGGGACUGAGACACGGCCCAGACUCCUACGGGAGGCAGCAGUGGGGAAUAUUGCACAAUGGGCGAAAGCCUGAUGCAGCAACGCCGCGUGAGGGACGACGGCCCUCGGGUUGUAAACCUCUUUUAGCAGGGAAGAAGCGAAAGUGACGGUACCUGCAGAAAAAGCGCCGGCUAACUACGCG
Molecule: ribosomal RNA, 468 nt
Filed under: uncultured bacterium
Lineage: Bacteria
Description: partial 16S ribosomal RNA
Rfam family: Bacterial small subunit ribosomal RNA
Source: RNAcentral